GAAGCAGGGGAUAACACUUGGAAACAGGUGCUAAUACCGUAUAACAACAAAAUUCCGCAUGGAUUUUGUUUGAAAGGUGGCUUCGGCUAUCACUUCUGGAUGAUCCCGCGGNGUAUUAGUUAGUUGGUGAGGUAAAGGCCCACCAAGACGAUGAUACGUAGCCGACCUGAGAGGGUAAUCGGCCACAUUGGGACUGAGACACGGCCCAAACUCCUACGGGAGGCAGCAGUAGGGAAUCUUCCACAAUGGACGAAAGUCUGAUGGAGCAAUGCCGCGUGAGUGAAGAAGGGUUUCGGCUCGUAAAACUCUGUUGUUAAAGAAGAACACCUUUGAGAGUAACUGUUCAAGGGUUGACGGUAUUUAACCAGAAAGCCACGGCUAANUACGUGCCAGCAGCCGCGGUAAUACGUAGGUGGCAAGCGUUGUCCGGAUUUAUUGGGCGUAAAGCGAGCGCAGGCGGUUUUUUAAGUCUGAUGUGAAAGCCUUCGGCUUAACCGGAGAAGUGCAUCGGAAACUGGGAGACUUGAGUGCAGAAGAGGACAGUGGAACUCCAUGUGUAGCGGUGGAAUGCGUAGAUAUAUGGAAGAACACCAGUGGCGAAGGCGGCUGUCUAGUCUGUAACUGACGNUGAGGCUCGAAAGCAUGGGUAGCGAACAGGAUUAGAUACCCUGGUAGUCCAUGCCGUAAACGAUGAGUGCUAAGUGUUGGAGGGUUUCCGCCCUUCAGUGCUGCAGCUAACGCAUUAAGCACUCCGCCUGGGGAGUACGACCGCAAGGUUGAAACUCAAAGGAAUUGACGGGGGCCCGCACAANCGGUGGAGCAUGUGGUUUAAUUCGAAGCUACGCGAAGAACCUUACCAGGUCUUGACAUCUUCUGCCAAUCUUAGAGAUAAGACGUUCCCUUCGGGGACAGAAUGACAGGUGGUGCAUGGUUGUCGUCAGCUCGUGUCNUGAGAUGUUGGGUUAAGUCCCGCAACGANCGCAACCCUUAUUAUCAGUUGCCAGCAUUCAGUUGGGCACUCUGGUGAGACUGCCGGUGACAAACCGGAGGAAGGUGGGGAUNACGUCAAAUCAUCAUUNCCCCUUAUNACCUGG
This 1094-nucleotide ribosomal RNA is filed under the name Levilactobacillus brevis. RNAcentral's name for it is "bacterial SSU rRNA". It matches the Rfam family "Bacterial small subunit ribosomal RNA", at positions 133 to 1212 of the family's 1533-position model. The record is from RNAcentral. Lineage: Bacteria; Bacillati; Bacillota; Bacilli; Lactobacillales; Lactobacillaceae.